CGAGUCGCCGUCGUGAACGUGCGAAAUUCGAUUUUUUUCAUGUAUAUCGUGAACUGUGUACUGUGUCCAAAAAAUAUUGUAAGACAGGAAUAAGUUAUUAUAAGAAAAAAAGUGUUGAUUUGUGCCUGUAAAAAAGGAUGACUGACCAUCGAUAUCUCCAACGGUUCAGGGUCAAAUCGUUCUUAUUCUGAUAGUCCUCAGCCGCGACCACUUCAGGCUCGAAAAAUCACGAGUUGAAACUGCAAAAUGCUGUUCUUGGGGAAAUAGCGUUUCGAAACAUUCAACGUUGCGGCCUGUCAAGUCUUUAAGAGCGAUGCUUACAAGGACGUCUUAUCCAACAAUAUUACAAAAAGUCGAGAACUUUGAAGCGACAACUUCGCAACACAUUAACUGUUCUUGUUAUGCUUAUAAUUGCAGCGUUUUGAAAAACGAUGAUCUAGAAUUUUAAUCUGAAGACAUUGUCAAAACCUUCCCUGGUGAGAUCCCCGAAACUUAUUAUAUGGAACCUGUUGAGAAGGAACUGUCGCGAAAUAAUAAGUCAGUUGAACGAUGCACUAAUCAGGCUCCGUGUUAAUUGGCCGUGGAACGUUGGAAGACAACUUUUAAAUUUCAACAAGAACAGAUGCGCAAAGUCUCAGACAAAAUUGUUAACGCUAUCGGAGCAUGACCAAUUUUGAAAAAUUCCAGUGGCUAUUCUUUGAUUGAUGAAGAUUUUGCUGCUUCGAACUCCAAAUCGUUUGCCCAUUAAAAAAUAGUGCAGUCACGGACGAGUUGACUUUUACAGCGAGAUGACGAGCAGAAAGUGCCUGCUCAAAUAUCGUUGAUGCCAUUCCUCAUUCCCCCGAAGGGGAUGGUCAAGACAAAGACUCGAAACUGUAAACCGUCAAUAAUUAAGUCAAAAGGCAGUUUCAUUUUGCACACGCCACGGUUGGUUCACUUUCAGC
Venturia canescens is the source of this 944-nucleotide long non-coding RNA. RefSeq lists it as uncharacterized. NCBI's taxonomy places the organism in Eukaryota, Metazoa, Arthropoda, Insecta, Hymenoptera, Ichneumonidae. The transcript is spliced from 4 exons. The record is from RefSeq and is a predicted model, not a curated record.